Molecule: ribosomal RNA, 221 nt
Filed under: uncultured bacterium
Lineage: Bacteria
Description: partial 16S ribosomal RNA
Rfam family: Bacterial small subunit ribosomal RNA
Source: RNAcentral
CGACGCGGAUAACCUGCCUCACACAGGGGAGUAACAGUUAGAAAUGACUGCUAAUACCGCAUAAGCGCACGGCAUCGCAUGAUGCAGUGUGAAAAACUCCGGUGGUGUGAGAUGGAUCCGCGUCUGAUUAGGUAGUUGGUGGGGUAACGGCCCACCAAGCCGACGAUCAGUAGCCGACCUGAGAGGGUGACCGGCCACAUUGGGACUGAGACACGGCCCAA